Molecule: small RNA, 743 nt
Filed under: Pan troglodytes (chimpanzee)
Lineage: Eukaryota; Metazoa; Chordata; Mammalia; Primates; Hominidae
Description: processed transcript
Source: RNAcentral
GAGCUUCUCAGAAGAGCCAAAACAGGAACCGAGGUGGCAAAUCACUGUGCGAGGGCGAGUGGACCUCCCUCUUUGCCUCCUCCCUGUUCCAGGAGCUGGUCCCCUGGGCUCUGCGCUGUUGUUUUCAGCGCUCCGAAAGCCGGCGCUUCAGAUCCAGAAGUCUUCAGGACGGGGUGAGUUACUGAUCUCUCUCUGCUAUCAGUCCACCACAAACACUCUAACUGUGGUUGUCUUAAAAGCUCGACAUCUGCCUAAAUCUGAUGUGUCCGGACUUUCAGAUCCCUAUGUCAAAGUGAACCUGUACCAUGCCAAAAAGAGAAUCUCCAAGAAGAAGACUCAUGUGAAGAAAUGCACCCCCAAUGCAGUGUUCAAUGAGCUGUUUGUCUUUGAUAUUCCUUGUGAGGGCCUUGAAGAUAUAAGUGUUGAAUUUUUGGUUUUGGAUUCUGAAAGGGGGUCCCGAAAUGAGGUAAUCGGGCAGUUAGUCUUGGGUGCAGCAGCAGAAGGAACUGGUGGAGAGCACUGGAAAGAGAUCUGUGACUACCCCAGGAGACAAAUUGCCAAGUGGCACGUGCUCUGUGAUGGUUAGCAUCCUAGCCGUGAGUUGGAACUUAAAGGUUUUUACUAGGCAAGGAGAAAUUUUCUUUCUUUCGAUAUUGGAUUGCAAGCUUGGGAAAUCAAGCUACCUUUUUGUUGUUGUUGUUGCUAGAAAUGGAUUGAAUUAGUAGACCAGAAAGUAACUUCAA